GGGCCUGUAGCUCAGUGGAUUAGAGCACGUGGCUACGAACCACGGUGCCGGGGGUUCGAGUCCCUCCUCGCCCG
Molecule: transfer RNA, 74 nt
Filed under: Bangiopsis subsimplex
Lineage: Eukaryota; Rhodophyta; Stylonematophyceae; Stylonematales; Stylonemataceae
Description: tRNA-Arg
Rfam family: tRNA
About the family: Transfer RNA (tRNA) molecules are approximately 80 nucleotides in length. Their secondary structure includes four short double-helical elements and three loops (D, anti-codon, and T loops). Further hydrogen bonds mediate the characteristic L-shaped molecular structure. tRNAs have two regions of fundamental functional importance: the anti-codon, which is responsible for specific mRNA codon recognition, and the 3' end, to which the tRNAs corresponding amino acid is attached (by aminoacyl-tRNA synthetases). tRNAs cope with the degeneracy of the genetic code in two manners: having more than one tRNA (with a specific anti-codon) for a particular amino acid; and 'wobble' base-pairing, i.e. permitting non-standard base-pairing at the 3rd anti-codon position.
Source: RNAcentral